RNAcentral lists this ribosomal RNA (450 nucleotides) under uncultured bacterium. Its description in RNAcentral is "partial 16S ribosomal RNA". It matches the Rfam family "Bacterial small subunit ribosomal RNA", at positions 354 to 796 of the family's 1533-position model. The record is from RNAcentral.
GUGGGGAAUCUUCCGCAAUGGACGAAAGUCUGACGGAGCGACGCCGCGUGAGUGAAGAAGGCCUUCGGGUCGUAAAGCUCUGUCAUCAGGGACGAACGGCCGGUGGAGUGGAAAGCCACCGGAUUGACGGUACCUGAGAAGGAAGCCACGGCUAACUACGUGCCAGCAGCCGCGGUAAUACGUAGGUGGCAAGCGUUGUCCGGAAUUAUUGGGCGUAAAGCGCGCGCAGGUGGGAUCUUAAGUCCAUUUUUAAAGUUCGGAGCUCAACUCCGUGAUGGGAUGGAAACUGGGAUUCUUGAGUACCGGAGAGGAAAGCGGAAUUCCCCGUGUAGCGGUGAAAUGCGUAGAUAUGGGGAGGAACACCAGUGGCGAAGGCGGCCACCUGGACAGGUACUGACGCUGAGGCGCGAAAGCGUGGGGAGCAAACAGGAUUAGAAACCCGUGUAGUCC